Juglans microcarpa x Juglans regia is the source of this 282-nucleotide long non-coding RNA. RefSeq lists it as uncharacterized. Lineage: Eukaryota; Viridiplantae; Streptophyta; Magnoliopsida; Fagales; Juglandaceae. The record is from RefSeq and is a predicted model, not a curated record. The transcript has 3 exons.
UACAAAACAAGGUGGCCACUAUUCCCAUUAUCCAUUCUUCACAGGAUGGUUCUUUUCUACAGCUAUUGCAUCUUGCUUCGCUGUUAGGGAUACUAAAAUGCAUCUACAGGUUUUUUAGACAUUCUUUAAGCUCCUUGCCCAUUCUUCAGCAACCCAUUUGUUCAAUUCCUUUGAGUACAUGGGUUCCAAAAAUUGGGGAGUAGAAGCCAUUUGCAAUGUUUAGGUCAAAUGCGUCUCUUAGUGCUGCUUUAACUUUAUUAGUUCAAGUUGGAGUUAAUUCGA